GGGUUGCGGUUGUGAUGGCAAGCAUGCCGGCCUCCAAAGCCGUGCGGAUGGGGUUCGAAUCCCUGGCAGCCCGCCA
RNAcentral lists this transfer RNA (76 nucleotides) under Pseudomonas amygdali pv. lachrymans str. M301315. Its description in RNAcentral is "tRNA-Trp". It matches the Rfam family "tRNA". Rfam says of the family: Transfer RNA (tRNA) molecules are approximately 80 nucleotides in length. The record is from RNAcentral. Lineage: Bacteria; Pseudomonadati; Pseudomonadota; Gammaproteobacteria; Pseudomonadales; Pseudomonadaceae.